RNAcentral lists this ribosomal RNA (351 nucleotides) under uncultured Acidobacteriota bacterium. RNAcentral's name for it is "bacterial SSU rRNA". It matches the Rfam family "Bacterial small subunit ribosomal RNA", at positions 15 to 354 of the family's 1533-position model. The record is from RNAcentral. Lineage: Bacteria; Pseudomonadati; Acidobacteriota.
GAUCCUGGCUCAGAAUCAACGCUGGCGGCGUGCCUAACACAUGCAAGUCGAACGCGGUUACCCCGCAAGGGGUAACUGAGUGGCGAACGGGUGAGUAACACGUGGGUGACCUGCCUUCGGGUGGGGGAUAACAUCCCGAAAGGGGUGCUAAUACCGCAUGACAUCCUGCCUUUGAAGAGGUGGAGAUUAAAGCCGGGGAUCGUAAGACCUGGCGCUUGAAGAGGGGCCCGCGUCCGAUUAGCUAGUUGGUGGGGUAAUGGCCUACCAAGGCGACGAUCGGUAGCCGGCCUGAGAGGGCGGACGGCCACACUGGGACUGAGACACGGCCCAGACUCCUACGGGAGGCAGCAG